This 164-nucleotide ribosomal RNA is filed under the name uncultured bacterium. RNAcentral describes it as "partial 16S ribosomal RNA". It matches the Rfam family "Bacterial small subunit ribosomal RNA", at positions 355 to 511 of the family's 1533-position model. The record is from RNAcentral.
UAGGGAAUCUUCGGCAAUGGACGAAAGUCUGACCGAGCAACGCCGCGUGAGUGAAGAAGGUUUUCGGAUCGUAAAACUCUGUUGUUAGAGAAGAACAAGGGUGAGAGUAACUGUUCACCCCUUGACGGUAUCUAACCAGAAAGCCACGUCUAACUACGUGCCCG